RNAcentral lists this ribosomal RNA (253 nucleotides) under uncultured bacterium. RNAcentral's name for it is "partial 16S ribosomal RNA". It matches the Rfam family "Bacterial small subunit ribosomal RNA", at positions 524 to 776 of the family's 1533-position model. The record is from RNAcentral.
UACGUAGGGGGCAAGCGUUGUCCGGAAUCAUUGGGCGUAAAGAGCGCGUAGGCGGCCCUGUAAGUCCGCUGUGAAAGUCAAGGGCUCAACCCUUGGAUGCCGGUGGAUACUGCAGGGCUAGAGUCCGGAAGAGGCGAAUGGAAUUCCUGGUGUAGCGGUGAAAUGCGUAGAUAUUGGGAGGAACACCAGUGGCGAAGGCGGCUCACUGGACCGGUUCUGACGCUGAGGCGCGAAAGCGUGGGGAGCAAACAGG